GUAGGGUGCGAGCGUUAAUCGGAAUUACUGGGCGUAAAGCGUGCGCAGGCGGUUCGUUGUGUCGGCGGUGAAAGCCCCGGGCUCAACCUGGGAAUGGCCGUUGAAACUGGCGAACUGGAGUGUGGCAGAGGGGGGUGGAAUUCCGCGUGUAGCAGUGAAAUGCGUAGAGAUGCGGAGGAACACCGAUGGCGAAGGCAGCCCCCUGGGCUGACACUGACGCUCAGGCACGAAAGCGUGGGGAGCAAACAGGAUUAGAUACCCUGGUAGUCCACGCCCUAAACGAUGUCGACUGGAUGUUGGGGAAGCGAUUUCCCAGUACCGUAGCUAACGCGUGAAGUCGACCGCCUGGGGAGUACGGCCGCAAGGUUA
This 369-nucleotide ribosomal RNA is filed under the name uncultured bacterium. RNAcentral describes it as "bacterial SSU rRNA". It matches the Rfam family "Bacterial small subunit ribosomal RNA", at positions 527 to 896 of the family's 1533-position model. The record is from RNAcentral.